RNAcentral lists this ribosomal RNA (433 nucleotides) under uncultured bacterium. RNAcentral describes it as "partial 16S ribosomal RNA". It matches the Rfam family "Bacterial small subunit ribosomal RNA", at positions 29 to 507 of the family's 1533-position model. The record is from RNAcentral.
AACGAACGCUGGCGGCAUGCCUAACACAUGCAAGUCGAACGAGACCUUCGGGUCUAGUGGCGCACGGGUGUGUAACGCGUGGGAACCUGCCCUUAGGUUCGGAAUAACUCCCCGAAAGGGGUGCUAAUACCGGACAAUGUCUUCGGACCAAAGAUUUAUCGCCUUUGGAUGGGCCCGCGUUGGAUUAGCUGGUUGGUAGGGUAAAAGCCUACCAAGGCGACGAUCCAUAGCUGGUCUGAGAGGAUGAUCAGCCACACUGGGACUGAGACACGGCCCAGACUCCUACGGGAGGCAGCAGUGGGGAAUAUUGGACAAUCGGCGAAAGCCUGAUCCAGCAAUGCCGCGUGAGUGAUGAAGGCCUUAGGGUUGUAAAGCGCUUUUACCCGGGAUGAUAAUGACAGUACCGGGAGAAUAAGCUCCGGCUAACUCCGUG